This 255-nucleotide ribosomal RNA is filed under the name uncultured bacterium. RNAcentral's name for it is "partial 16S ribosomal RNA". It matches the Rfam family "Bacterial small subunit ribosomal RNA", at positions 524 to 776 of the family's 1533-position model. The record is from RNAcentral.
UACGUAGGGUGCAAGCGUUGUCCGGAAUUAUUGGGCGUAAAGAGCUCGUAGGCGGUUUGUCGCGUCUGCUGUGAAAUCCCGAGGCUCAACCUCGGGCCUGCAGUGGGUACGGGCAGACUAGAGUGCGGUAGGGGAGAUUGGAAUUCCUGGUGUAGCGGUGGAAUGCGCAGAUAUCAGGAGGAACACCGAUGGCGAAGGCAGAUCUCUGGGCCGUAACUGACGCUGAGGAGCGAAAAGCGUGGGGGAGCGAACAGG